UAUCCCUGACCAGUGGUAAGAAAAGCAAAGGCCAAGGGUGAUGACCCUUAGGUCUCUGAAGAUCGAACCCUGUCAGGGGGA
Molecule: microRNA precursor, 81 nt
Filed under: Tetranychus urticae (two-spotted spider mite)
Lineage: Eukaryota; Metazoa; Arthropoda; Arachnida; Trombidiformes; Tetranychidae
Description: mir-5729 microRNA precursor family
Rfam family: mir-5729 microRNA precursor family
Source: Rfam by way of RNAcentral